RNAcentral lists this ribosomal RNA (253 nucleotides) under uncultured bacterium. Its description in RNAcentral is "partial 16S ribosomal RNA". It matches the Rfam family "Bacterial small subunit ribosomal RNA", at positions 524 to 776 of the family's 1533-position model. The record is from RNAcentral.
UACGAGGGGAGCUAGCGUUGUUCGGAAUUACUGGGCGUAAAGCGCACGUAGGCGGGGUUGUCAGUCAGAUGUGAAAUCCCGGGGCUCAACCCCGGAACUGCAUUUGAUACUGCAACUCUUGAGGGUAGGCGGAGAAAACGGAAUUCCACAUGUAGCGGUGAAAUGCGUAGAUAUGUGGAAGAACACCGGUGGCGAAGGCGGUUUUCUAGCUUAUUCCUGACGCUGAAGCGCGAAAGCAAGGGGAGCAAACAGG